Long non-coding RNA from Rattus norvegicus (Norway rat), 1390 nucleotides. RefSeq annotates it as small nucleolar RNA host gene 11. The record is from RefSeq and is marked validated. NCBI's taxonomy places the organism in Eukaryota, Metazoa, Chordata, Mammalia, Rodentia, Muridae.
CUGGGCGGACACUGCGGUGUUCGAGAAGGGUCUUGCGCAGUCCUGCACUGCGGCACUCACGCACUCCACUUUCCACCUCAGCCUGCUAGGCGAGUCACCUCGGCUCUGCGCUCUCGGCCGCCUCCAAGGCCUCCAAGUCACCUUUAAUCAUGAAAACCCAGGAGCCGGGAAGCUAGGACGCGGGCUUGAUCCUCCCACACCUGCGAGCUAUGGAUCUUCUGGAGUACACGAAAGGAGAUAUCGCUGGGUCCUCAGACUGUUGACGCGUCCUUCCAAGGAACUGAUAAGCCCAGGCCCCUAGGACGGGAUGCUAGGACUCCAGUGUGGGGCCUUGCUGUGAACCCCUUCCCAAGUGUUUGCUUCCCUGAUGGGCCUUUGCCAAAAGGCCCUCUUGACACCGAAAAGGAUGACGACUCAGGUUCUGCGGCAGCCAAUGCCCCUCCCCCAACUCUCUGCACUCACUGGUGGGGGCCACGGUCAAGGAAGCAAGUAUCCCGAAUUGACAGCUUGGUGCAGAGGGGACAUGCGAGGUGUCUCUAUCCUGAGAGGAAGCAGCUGGACCCUGGCGCUCCCAAGGAGCGUACUCCCCAGUGUGGAAAAACAAGAGAACGUGACUGUCUCAUGGUGAGCGCCUGCUGGGGCCUUAUCCAGGCUAUGGCGGUCUCCGUGGGCGUCCAGGGAGAGCAAGGAUGCUGACAUGGAACGUGCCUCCAGAGCUCGUUGCCAUCGGCUCGCCAGCCAGGAACACCUUUUUACUUUGGUAGGUAUGCAGAGGGAAGGGCCUUGACUCUGGAGACUUGGGGACCAAAGUUAGAGCGGAGGUAGUUCUGUCACUCCCCUUAGACAGAGCCACAGAAUGCCAGGUGGCACUAAGGUCCUUGCUCUCACAAGUAAGCACUGUCCGGGGAACCAGCAAUAUUAAACACGCAGGGUUGUCUCUUCAAAGGGAGAGAUAGAUAUCCUGUUUUUCCUCCCAGAAGGCUGGGAGCGGAGGUGUUUAAUAUCCUGGCGAACUUUGUGCUAUCUGUAUGACCAAGGCCAUGCUAGAUCCUCCCCUAAGAUUAUAUAUGAAUCUUAAGAUGUCAUAUAUAAUCAAUAUACCUAGUCGGCUAGGUAGUGGUGGUGCAUGCCUUUACUCCCAGUAUUCUGGUAGCAAAGGCAGGCGGGUCUCUGCAUUCCUCCCCUAAACCCUUAAGAUGUCAUAUGUAAUCAGUCAUCUGGGUGGUGGUGGUGCAUGCCUUUACUUCCAGGACUUGGGUGGCAAAGACGGGUGGAUCUCUGAGUUCGAGGCUCGCCUGGUCUACAGAGUGAGUCCAGGUUAGCCAGGACUACCCAGAGAAACCUUCUAUCUGGGAAAAAAAAAAAAACAAUAAAUAACUUUUUUAAAAAA